This 174-nucleotide unclassified non-coding RNA is filed under the name soil metagenome. RNAcentral describes it as "partial internal transcribed spacer 1". The record is from RNAcentral.
CAAGAAGCCGAAAGGCUACUUAAAACCAUCGCGAACUUAUCCAAGUUGCUUCGGCGGCGCGGCUCCCCUCACGGGGGACCGCAGCCCCCGCCUCUCAGGAGGUAAGGGGCAGUCCGCCGGAGGUACGAAACUCUGUAUUAUAGUGGUAUCUCCGAGUAUAAAACAAAUAAGUUA